GUCCAGACCUGACACCUCCUCUAUAAGUCCUUAAAUGGCAUAUUACACCAACAUGGCAAAUUUUCAGGAAGGAAAUACUGAUUGGUGGAAACAAGGACAAUUUCAUCAUGCACCAGAAAGGGAAAAAUUCCAGAGGCCAGAGUAACUUCAGGAGCUUAGCCUCAGGUAGAACUCCCUUUAGAGAACAUGGUUUUUGAACCCCUGCUUCUCACAUAUAGGAUUUUUUUUUCACUCAAUUGUCGCCACGGCGAUGAAUCCAAAAGUCCUUUCUAAGGAAAAAAUAACCAAUCAAAUGAGGCUUGGGGGGUGGGGUAGGCAAAGCAAGGCCUAUGACAAGAGCAUUGUCUCAUGAUGUCAUAAUGGUGGUCAGAAUCAAUAAAAGCUGACCACGUAGGCAGUUGGUGUGGUAUUAGUCAAAGCCACUGACCUGAGAGCAUCAAAGGAUCAGGGGCUAUGGACGAUGUUCAAGAGUACCCAACGUACAUACGGUACCUGGGAUACCAUGACUUUCAAAGCUUCAAGAAGUACAGAGUAUGCCAAGGGAAUAAAGGACUUGAAGUUUUUGAAGUCAUUGAUGGGAGUGAAAUACCUGAAGAAAGAAUAUGUGGAGAACAAGUUUAUAUUUCUGAAGGAGAGAUGAUUAAAUCUGGAGAAAAACGCAAGGAAGAUAGGAAACACGGGGAGAAAUACUUGGGAAUGACAGCCAGAUUAGAAAAAGAGUCAGCCAAGUUCCCAAACAAAAAUGACAAUACUCAAGUGAAGAACGAGACUACUGCAUUUCUAGAUUCUAUAUUCGGUGAGUGA
This 804-nucleotide long non-coding RNA is filed under the name Monodelphis domestica (gray short-tailed opossum). Its description in RNAcentral is "lncRNA (ENSMODG00000033878.2)". Lineage: Eukaryota; Metazoa; Chordata; Mammalia; Didelphimorphia; Didelphidae. The record is from RNAcentral.